This 332-nucleotide ribosomal RNA is filed under the name uncultured eukaryote. RNAcentral describes it as "partial 18S ribosomal RNA". It matches the Rfam family "Eukaryotic small subunit ribosomal RNA", at positions 1470 to 1796 of the family's 1831-position model. The record is from RNAcentral.
CCCUUAGAUGUUCUGGGCUGCACACGUGCUACACUGGCAGGUUCAGCGAGCUUCAUGCCCUGAUCUGAAAGGAAUGGGAAAUCUUUUCAAAACCUGCCGUGCUUGGGAUAGAUGUUUGCAAUUAUUCAUCUUCAACGAGGAUUGCCUUGUAAGCGCACGUCAUCAGCGUGGAUUGAAUACGACCCUGUAUUCUGUACACACCGCCCGUCGCUCCUACCGAUUGAAGUUUUCGGUGAGUUGACAGGAGGAUUUUUUUGAAACUGGUUCGCCAGUGGAUUUUAGAUCCAAAUGCCAACGAAUCGAUGGCUUUAGAGGAAGGAGAAGUCGUAACA